This 1240-nucleotide ribosomal RNA is filed under the name metagenome. Its description in RNAcentral is "bacterial LSU rRNA". It matches the Rfam family "Bacterial large subunit ribosomal RNA", at positions 1564 to 2814 of the family's 2925-position model. The record is from RNAcentral.
UGAAUACGAGACGCUAAGGCGUUGAAGUAGUGUAUGUCAUACUUCCAAGAAAAGCUUGCACUGUCAUAGAUAAAAAACGCCUGUACCAUAACCGACACAGGUGGGUAGGUAGAGUAUACUAAGGGGCGCGAGAUAACUCUCUCUAAGGAACUCGCAAAAUAACUCCGUAACUUCGGGAGAAGGAGUGCCUUAUUUAUAAGGCUGCAAUAACAAGAUCCAAGCAACUGUUUAUCAAAAUCACAGGUCUCCGCUAAGUCGUAAGACGAUGUAUGGGGGCUGACGCCUGCCCAGUGCCAGAAGGUUAAAGAAGUUGGUUAGCAAUAGCGAAGCUGAUAACUGAAGCCCUGGUGAACGGCGGCCGUAACGAUAACGGUCCUAAGGUAGCGAAAUUCCUUGUCGGGUAAGUUCCGACCCGCACGAAAGGCGUAAUGAUUUGGAUACUGUCUCGGAGAGGGGCUCGGUGAAAUAGACUUGCCUGUGAAGAUGCGGACUACCUGCACCAGGACAGAAAGACCCUAUGAAGCUUUACUGUAACUUGAAAUUGAAAUUGGACUUUAUUCGCGCAGUAUAGGUGGGAGGCGUUGAUUGUAAUCUUGCGGGAUUAUUGGAGCCAUCAGUGAGAUACCACCCUUGUAAUGUUAGAUUUCUAACUUUGAAUCAUUAUCUGGUCAAAGAACAGUUUCAGGCGGGCAGUUUGACUGGGGCGGUCGCCUCCUAAACGGUAACGGAGGCGUACAAAGGUUUCCUCUGAACGGUUAGAAAUCGUAUCUAGAGUGUAAAGGCAUAAGGAAGCUUGACUGUGAGACCUACAAGUCGAGCAGGGACGAAAGUCGGUCUUAGUGAUCUGACGGUACUGAGUGGAAAGGCCGUCACUCAACGGAUAAAAGUUACUCUAAGGAUAACAGGCUGAUCUCCCCCAAGAGUUCACAUCGACGGGGAGGUUUGGCACCUCGAUGUCGGCUCAUCGCAUCCUGGGGCGGUAGUACGUCCCAAGGGUUGGGCUGUUCGCCCAUGAAAGCGGUUCGCGAGCUGGGUUCAGAACGUCGCGAGACAGUUCGGUCCAUAUCCGGUGUAGGCGUUAGAAUAUUGAGAGGAGCCUUCUUUAGUACGAGAGGACCGAGAAGGACAUACCUCUGGUGUACCAGUUAUCGUGCCAACGGUAAACGCUGGGUAGCUAUGUAUGGAGUGGAUAACCGCUGAAAGCAUCUAAGUGGGAAGCCCACCUCAAGAUAAGUAUUCC